Molecule: long non-coding RNA, 2721 nt
Filed under: Acanthaster planci (crown-of-thorns starfish)
Lineage: Eukaryota; Metazoa; Echinodermata; Asteroidea; Valvatida; Acanthasteridae
Description: uncharacterized LOC110990699
Source: RNAcentral
UUCAUUUUCUGGUCACGUACUUGACUGUCGUCAGGACCAAUAGCGUUCCCGCACUUUAUUUCGUGUAUUUUUACGAUCUUUGGUUUUUAUCAAUCUCGCGGGCGGAGUCAGAUGGACGUCAUGGACGUUUCAGAUUUGCUCCGUUCCGGGUCUUCUCGCCACUGUAAAAAGCAGUGUGUAGUAUUUUGGAUCGACAAAAAGAAGGGGAGCAUCGAGCCCCUCUCUUCUGUUGAGGAAAGCUGCCAACAUGAGGGGAGUAUUGGCAUGGUGAAGUGGAAGGGGAAGAAAAAUACCGAGCGAAGAUUCUCAAAAUAAGCGACUCUGAAGAUGAACUUAAAUAUGUCCUGAUGGGUCUGUGCCAGCAGAUUGACGAAGCAGCACCUGACAAGGAACGGUCGUCUAACACUUCAAAAAGGAAACGCCAAAAAGUGAAUUGAGAUUGACGAAGUAGCACCUGACAAGGAACGGUUGUCUAACACUUCAAAAAGGAAAUGCCAAAAAGUGAAUUGAGAUUGACGAAGCAGCACCUGACAAGGAACGGUCAUCUAACACUUCAAAAAGGAAACGCCAAAAAGUGAAUUGAGAUUGAUGAAGCAGCAUCUGACAAGGAAAGGUCAUCUAAAACUUCAAAACAGAAAAUGCCAAAAAGUGAAAGCAACCCACAGCUUGCUGCAAACCUCAGAAGAGACUAUGCUAUCACAUGAUGGACAUACAUGGAAAACAGCACAAGGAAGGCCUAAUCCAUCGCUGUCUCCACUCCGGCCACCACAGAACUCAGCAGCAACAAUAUGGUCAUCUGAAGGACAUACAUGGGAAGCAGCACAAGCAAAACCCACACCAUCGCUGCCACUGCCACCACAACAGGGUUGUUUCACACAAUGGCUGGGCAGGGAAGACAUUAAUCAAGCUUACUUGGACCUGGAAGAAGAAAACUACCUGCUGAAUUGUGAAGUGCAAGCUCUGAAGAAGGAAAACAAAAGGUCAAUGGCAGUGUCAGAUUCACUGUGGGAGGCUGGGUUUGCCUAGGGGUCAGCAAAGGCCACAACUGGACCAGUUGAAACCCAAGAGGAGUUGAAGGGGGAGAACUGGGAAUGGAGCCACAAAACAGAUAGUCAAGGAGCUCCUAAAGUUGAUAUUGGCUUUGGAGUCUUCAUAACACACCAACAAGUGGAAGCAGUUAAAGCCUCCUUGGAAUCUGGCAAUUUGAAGGUUGUUCUGCGGCAUCUGCUCACCGUCCUUUUCAGCAGAGAUGAGCUCUCUCAAGCCUGCUGCAAAGGACAGAAGGGCAAAGGGAGCAACCAUCAAGCUCUUCCUCAGAGACCUGUUCCAGCGGCACAAAGUGAGUACAUAUAUGAUUUGAUAAAAACAAAGUGAAUAUGUUCCAUUUUGCCUGCCAAGUAUAGAAAUAUAAAGUGUGGGAAUAAAUAUGUGUUCUGCUGGUCUUAAGCAUGCAUUUAAAACUGGUUCCGGAAAAUGGACUUGACUAAUUCCCACACUGCGCAGUAAUAUCUACAUCUAUUCUUCUGAGCCAUUUUCUAAUGUUAGUUUAAGACCCCUGAGCACAUAAUUAUUCCCAUAAAUGCCUUUCUAGUUACAGGGUCAAAAAAAUAAAAAUAUCAGCACAGUUUUCAUGAAGAGACAAGAUUCUUGCAGUCGAGUAACAACUUGUUUUCAAAAAAUAUCAUUUGAAGUUGGUUUCCUUUUCAACGCUUAUUUCUGUAGUACUUAGCAUUCCUUCAACUAAAACAAUGCUACUAUGUGAAAAACGGGAUCCUGGAUUACACAAAUUGCCAAACAGUUUUUCAUAGGAAUCAAUGUUGUUUGUUUAGUAAACAAAUAGAUUUGUCUGUCUGUGAUAAUUUGUGUGCUUUUGUCUCUUCAAGCUGUGUAAGGAGGGGGCAUGUGUUUUUCCCUUUGUGCAUGCCAGGUGCAAAUUAUUACAAAUGUGUACAUUUCCAGAGUCAUUUUGUCUCUUUGUGAAAACCAUCAAAGGGUUUUGCCCCAUGAUUUUGCCUUUUAUUGCAAACAUUUUCUCUGUGGAAGACAGUUUCACCUGUUCCUGAAAGCUGGAAGUACGGUUUAUUCAAAUUUUGCCCAACGGUGAUUAUUGUGAUUUCGCUGAUUUCAGUGACAAAUAACACCAAUCUGUAGUCAUCCAUUAGCCUAAUUGAUUUUGCCCUCAAAAAUAAUUUUUAAAAGUCGUGAUUUUUUACCAAUUUGCCUCUGUGAAAGCUGUGAUGCUAUGAUGAAUUUCAAAAGAUUUUGUCAAAGAAUUUCAUUUUCAUUUUCAUGAUCACCUGUUAUUCAUUUGAUGGUACAUGUAUAUUCUUAUUGCAUGGAAUGACACACAUGAGAUGCACUGCAUGCUGCAGCACAUUCAAAACAAUACAAUUUGAAUUUGGAUAUCUCACCAAGUUAACUUCGGCCAGAGGCAGAACUGUAUUGUCAUUACCCAAGGUGCCUGUAAUCAGUAGGCAGUAACCAAUAAAAUAUUGGAAGUAGGCAGUACAACAUUGACCAUGACAGAAAACGUCUAGCACUCACACACCAAAACCCAAGCCCCGCACCGGACAGGUCAGGUAUCCCAAUUGCGGAUAUGACCCAAGUCAUGCGUCAUGCCCAGCUAGAGGCCAGCAAUGCAAGUCCUGUCACAAAACCGGACAUUUCAGUAAAGUUUGCCGUUCCAAGCGCAAACACAUGUGAGCUGUGCACCCAGUGACA